UACUUAUCCAUGGGAGUCAGACUGUGAGUAAUAAGGCCCAUAGUCAAGAGGGAAACAGCCCAGACCAACAGCUAAGGUCCCCAAUGCCGUACUAAGUGGCGAAGGAUGUGGAAUUUCGAAAACAACCAGGAUGUUGGCUCAGAAGCAGCCACCAUUAAAAGAGUGCGUAAUAGCUCACUGGUCGAGAGACUCUGCGCCGAAGAUGUCCGGGGCUAAAGUACGGAACCGAAGCUUUGGCAAUUAACAUAAGUUAAUUGGGUAGGGGAGCGUUCCUGCAUGGGAGAAGCCUGACCGGAAGGACAGGUGGACAGGCAGGAAGAGAGAAUGCCGGUAUGAGUAGCGAAAAGAAGGGUGAGAAUCCCUUCCACCGAAAGCCUAAGGGUUCCUGGGCAACGAUCGUCGUCCCAGGGUAAGUCGGGACCUAAUCCGAGGCGGAGACGCGUAGGAGAUGGACAACAGGUUGAAAUUCCUGUACUGGCUGAGGCCGUUUGAGCGAAGGAGUGACACAGGAAGGAAGGCGCGCGUGCGAAUGGAAGAGCACGUCCAAGCAGGUAGGUCGGGAGACAGGCAAAUCCGUUUCCCAUAAGGCCGAGAUGCGAUGGGGAGCUUCUGGAGACAGAAGCGAAGGGGCUGGCACUAAACUGUCGAGAAAAGCUUCUAGUGAGGACUCAGGCACCCGUACCGAAACCGACACAGGUAGGCAGGAUGAGAAUUCUAAGGUGCGCGGGAAAACCCUCGUUAAGGAACUCGGCAAAAUAUAUCCGUAACUUCGGGAAAAGGAUAACCCAGCGUACGUGAAGUGCAGAAACGCAUGGAGCGGAGAUGGGUGGCAGAAGAGAGGCCCAAGCGACUGUUUACCACAAACACAGGCGUCUGCUAAAGCGAAAGCUGAUGUAUAGAUGCUGACACCUGCCCGGUGCUGGAAGGUUAAGAGGAAGUGUUAGCGCAAGCGAAGCAGUGAAUUGAAGCCCCAGUAAACGGCGGCCGUAACUAUAACGGUCCUAAGGUAGCGAAAUUCCUUGUCGGGUAAGUUCCGACCCGCAUGAAAGGCGUAAUGAUUUGGGCGCUGUCUCAACGAGGGGCCCGGUGAAAUUGAAAUACCUGUGAAGAUGCAGGUUACCCGCGACUGGACAGAAAGACCCCAUGGAGCUUUACUGCAGCUUGAGAUUGAAUCCCGGUGGCAGACGCACAGGAUAGGUGGGAGGCUUUGAGAUAGUGACUUUGGUUGCUAUGGAGCCGACGUUGGGAUACCACCCUUCUGUUGCUGGGAUUCUAACGCGAAGAUUAACAACCUUGCGGACCAUCUCAGGUAGGCGGUUUGACUGGGGCGGUCGCCUCCGAAAGAGUAACGGAGGCGCCCAAAGGUUCCCUCAGGCCGGACAGAAACCGGCCGAAGAGUGCAAAGGCAGAAGGGAGCUUGACUGCGAGACAGACAAGUCGAGCAGAGACGAAAGUCGGGCUUAGUGAUCCGGUGGUACUGCGUGGAAAGGCCAUCGCUCAACGGAUAAAAGCUACCCUGGGGAUAACAGGCUAAUCUCUCCCAAGAGUUCAUAUCGACGGGGAGGUUUGGCACCUCGAUGUCGGCUCAUCACAUCCUGGAGCUGGAGUAGGUUCCAAGGGUUGGGCUGUUCGCCCAUUAAAGUGGUACGCGAGCUGGGUUCAAAACGUCGUGAGACAGUUUGGUUCAUAUCCAUCGCGGGCGCAAGAAGUUUGAGGGAGGCUGCUCCUAGUACGAGAGGACCGGAGUGGACGGAUCAACGGUGUACCAGUUGUCACGCCAGUGGCACGGCUGGAAAGCCGCAUCCGGAAAGGAUAAACGCUGAAAGCAUCUAAGCGUGAAGCCCGUCCCAAGAUGAGACUUCUCAUCAGCAAUGAGUAAGACCCCUUAAAGACGAUGAGGUUGAUAGGCUGUGAGUGGAAGAGCCGCGAGGCUUGGAGCGACGCAGUACUAAUAGGUCGAGGUCUUAACU
Molecule: ribosomal RNA, 1970 nt
Filed under: metagenome
Description: bacterial LSU rRNA
Rfam family: Bacterial large subunit ribosomal RNA
Source: RNAcentral